Molecule: long non-coding RNA, 644 nt
Organism: Beta vulgaris subsp. vulgaris (sugar beet)
Lineage: Eukaryota; Viridiplantae; Streptophyta; Magnoliopsida; Caryophyllales; Amaranthaceae
Exons: 2
Source: RefSeq, a predicted model, not a curated record
AACGGCUUAUUUUUUCGAUCUUUAUAUAUUUAUAACUCAUUUCUAUCUUUUCAUCCAUUACCAAUUAGUUCUGAGACAACAGAAAUUGAAAUUCAUACCUUUAAAUUUGUGUUAUUUUUGAUUUCUGGAAAUUUGUGGAGGAAGAAACCAGAUUUGUGAAGAACUGAAUAAUUAAAUAUACCUUCUCUCUAAAUAUUCGUGAAAUUUGCGGUCGAACGGAAGAACUAAAGAUUCCUGAAAUUUGCGGAAGAAAUUAAAGCUGAAAGAUGAAAGUUUGAGAUAGUAACUAAUGCGUGCUUCAGCCUUCAUAUGAACUUGAACUUGAAGAAGAUGAGUAGUAGUGUACAGCUGUACCACUCUAUUAGAGUGUGUGUGGCUCCCCUAAAAAAAAAAAAAAAAAGUAGAUGUGACAGCAGUGCAGCACCGCUCACUCAUAGUUAGUACAUUAUAGUUUUAUUACUUUAUAUUUAGUGGCUUUAUAGUUUUAUUACUUUAUAUUUUCAUAAUUUUAAUAUAUGUUCUUUGUACUAGAAGUAGUAUUAUAUGUUUUAGUAGGUAAAAUCUUGUAGUUUUCAGUUAUGUUCUUUGUACUAGGAGUAAUAUUUUAUAAUUUUAAGGAUUAAUGGUUAAUGAUAUUGUGUAUA